Molecule: transfer RNA, 69 nt
Filed under: Dipodomys ordii (Ord's kangaroo rat)
Lineage: Eukaryota; Metazoa; Chordata; Mammalia; Rodentia; Heteromyidae
Rfam family: tRNA
About the family: Transfer RNA (tRNA) molecules are approximately 80 nucleotides in length. Their secondary structure includes four short double-helical elements and three loops (D, anti-codon, and T loops).
Source: Rfam by way of RNAcentral
GGGAAUGUGGCUUAGCAGUAGAGUGUUUGCCUUGCAUGCAUAAAGCUUGGGUUCGAUUCCUCAGUACCA